This 1197-nucleotide long non-coding RNA is filed under the name Papio anubis (olive baboon). RNAcentral describes it as "lncRNA (ENSPANG00000037868.1)". The record is from RNAcentral. Lineage: Eukaryota; Metazoa; Chordata; Mammalia; Primates; Cercopithecidae.
UUGGUAAGCAUGUGACUGACAAAGUGGCGGUGAAUAAACUAGAAAUUAGCUUACUUACCUGUGAAUAUCAUCUGUAUUCUGAGUUAUUUUCAUUUAUUAAGGUAAUGAUGGAUUUAUUCUGGGAAAUUAGAACAGUAGAGGUUGAGUAAAAGUGUUUCUACUCCCAUUUGCAUGUGAUAAGGCCUCAAUGUAAGGGCUUUGUAUGUAAAUUUUGGUGAAAUGAAUACAAUGAAGGAAUAUCUCUUUUUCAGUGGACCUUAUUCUCCAUCUCAACCAUGACUCUUCGUUAAGACUGAAGCUUGUGACAUUUCGCUUGGAAGUACCCUUGAAGGACUGAGUAAGGUGGGAAUACGGCUCAGGAAAAGGAAUAUAAAAUGCUUUUGAGGAGAUCUUCUGAUAAUGAGUGGGAUGACUUAGGAGAUGAAGCCCCGGCUACGUGCAGGGAAAGGGACUCACACAUUUCAAAAUGUGUGACUUAUGGAAAAGGAGAUUUGGGUUACUGCAUCGUGGAAAACAAACCAGUGAGAACAGGAGAACACCUGUCCAGGGUUCUGCAUGAACAAGUAAGUCGAUUAAAUUCUGACUAAAAGAGUUUUCAAUAUAUAAUUUGAAGAAUAUAUACUCUGUGCAACAGUGAGAGGUAAUAAAGAUUUCACAUGGAUAAAUUCAUUUUCUGAAAAAGUUAGUAGAGCAAUGAGGAAACCUGAAAGAUUCUGAGUUUUAAAGAUUUCCUUUGAAUAACGUAAUAUGAAUAAAAUUUUAGGGCCAUGGUCUCGAGCAAGAGAAAUAAACCCAUAUUUACUCUGUUAUUUAAAUUCUUUUAAUUUAAUUAAAUAUGAAAAUAAGGAUCUUUGCAAGGUAGUUAAGAGUAAUUAUGCUUAGUUAUUAUUGGCUAAAUUGGGCUUUUAAUGAUUUACUUAAAAUUUAACCCACAUCCCCUUGGAAAAAUUGGCAUUUCGAAUCAUUCAUCUGGCAGUUGAAACCACAGGGCUAAAUUGCAUUUAAACAAUGUCUUGUUAUAGGCCCAUGGUUAAACUGGGAAUUGUAAAUAAUUCCAAGGCAAUGUUUGAAACAGCAAAUAGAAAUGCCCUUAGGAGUCAUAUACAUUUUUGUUCUUCAUUUCCACAUUAAACCUUUUUACCUGAAAUAUUCAUAUUCUCUAAAGACAAGGCAAAUAUGUCUGAUAAAAAAUAAGCC